Molecule: ribosomal RNA, 585 nt
Filed under: uncultured bacterium
Lineage: Bacteria
Description: bacterial SSU rRNA
Rfam family: Bacterial small subunit ribosomal RNA
Source: RNAcentral
CCUGAACGCUGGCGGCGUGGCUAAGACAUGCAAGUCGUACGGGUGUAGCAAUACACCAGUGGCGGACGGGUGAGUAAUGUAUCGCUAACGUGCCCUUCAGUCCAGGAUAGCCGAGGGAAACUUCGGGUAAUACCGGUUGACAUCACGAGCAGGCAUCUGCUUGUGCUCAAAGGCGUAAGCCGCUGAAGGAGCGGGCGAUAUCGUAUCAGCUUGUUGGCGGGGUAACGGCCCACCAAGGCGACGACGCGUAGCCGGACUGAGAGGUUGGCCGGCCACAUUGGGACUGAGACACUGCCCAGACUCCUACGGGGGGCUGCAGUAACGAAUCUUCCGCAAUGCACGCAAGUGUGACGGAGCGACGCCGCGUGUGGGACGAAGCCCCUCGGGGUGUAAACCACUGUCAGGGGAUAGAAAGUUCUGAUCAUCCCCAGAGGAAGGCACGGCUAACUCUGUGCCAGCAGCCGCGGUAAGACAGAGGUGCCAAGCGUUAGGCGGAAUCACUGGGCUUAAAGCGUGUGUAGGCGGACCGUUAAGUACCUUGUGAAAUCCCCCGGCUCAACCGGGGAACUGCUGGGUAUACUGGCG